RNAcentral lists this ribosomal RNA (253 nucleotides) under uncultured bacterium. Its description in RNAcentral is "partial 16S ribosomal RNA". It matches the Rfam family "Bacterial small subunit ribosomal RNA", at positions 524 to 776 of the family's 1533-position model. The record is from RNAcentral.
UACGAAGGGGGCUAGCGUUGUUCGGAAUUACUGGGCGUAAAGGGCGCGUAGGCGGUGUGUCAAGUCAGGCGUGAAAGCCCCGGGCUCAACCUGGGAACCGCGCUUGAGACUGGCACGCUCGAGUUCGGGAGAGGAUGGUGGAAUUCCCAGUGUAGCGGUGAAAUGCGUAGAUAUUGGGAGGAACACCAGUGGCGAAAGCGACUUUCUGGGGUGUUUCUGACGCUGAGGUUCGAAAGCUCGGGGAGCAAACAGG